RNAcentral lists this ribosomal RNA (1359 nucleotides) under uncultured Inocybe. Its description in RNAcentral is "eukaryotic LSU rRNA". The stretch from base 724 to 1359 matches the Rfam family "Eukaryotic large subunit ribosomal RNA", at positions 1 to 615 of the family's 3401-position model. The record is from RNAcentral. Lineage: Eukaryota; Fungi; Basidiomycota; Agaricomycetes; Agaricales; Cortinariaceae.
UUUAGAGAAGUAAAAGUCGUAACAAGGUUUCCGUAGGUGAACCUGCGGAAGGAUCAUUAUUGAAUAAACUUGAACAGGCUGUUGCUGGCCCUCUCUUGUGAGGGGGACAUGUGCACGCUUGUCAUCUUUAUCUCUCCAACUGUGCACACAUUGUAGACCUGGAGUCGUCUUUGUUGAUUCAUUCGAGUUGGCACUGCAGCGCUUUUCAAAACAAGAAAAGUCUGCUCUGCCUUUUGCAUUUCCAGGUCUAUGUCAUUUUCACAACCUCAAUGUGUUUAGAAUGUUGAAAAUCAGGUCCUUUAUUGUACCUAUAAAAGUUAAAUAUACAACUUUCAGCAACGGAUCUCUUGGCUCUCGCAUCGAUGAAGAACGCAGCGAAAUGCGAUAAGUAAUGUGAAUUGCAGAAUUCAGUGAAUCAUCGAAUCUUUGAACGCAUCUUGCGCUCCUUGGUAUUCCGAGGAGCAUGCCUGUUUGAGUGUCAUUUCAAGUUCUCAACUGCAUCAAUUUCUCGUUGAUGUGGCUUGGAUGUGGGGGAUUGAUUAUUGCAGGCUUCUGUCAAAGGAGGUCGGCUCCCCUGAAAAGUAUUAGUGGUAUCUGAGCGGAAGAAACUACUAUAGGUGUGAUAACUAUCUAUGCCUUCAGUAUGCUGCAUAAAAACAGAUUGCACUGCUUCUAACCUAGUGAAAACCUCUCUCUACAAGGAGGGGCCACAUUUGACGAAUUUGACCUCAAAUCAGGUAGGACUACCCGCUGAACUUAAGCAUAUCAAUAAGCGGAGGAAAAGAAACUAACAAGGAUUCCCCUAGUAACUGCGAGUGAAGCGGGAAAAGCUCAAAUUUGAAAUCUGGCGGUUUUUUGACUGUCCGAGUUGUAAUCUAGAGAAGUGUUACCUGUGCUGAACCGUGUACAAGUCUUCUGGAAUGGAGCAUCAUAGAGGGUGAGAAUCCCGUCUUUGACAUGGACUACCAGUACAUUAUGGUGCGCUCUCGAAGAGUCGAGUUGUUUGGGAAUGCAGCUCAAAAUGGGUGGUAAAUGCCAUCUAAAGCUAAAUAUUGGCGAGAGACCGAUAGCGAACAAGUACCGUGAGGGAAAGAUGAAAAGAACUUUGGAAAGAGAGUUAAACAGUACGUGAAAUUGCUGAAAGGGAAACGCUUGAAGUCAGUCACGUUGGCUAGAAAUCAGCCCUGCUCUUGCUCGGUGUACUUUCUGGUUGAUGGGUCAGCAUCAAUUUCGACCAUUGGAUAAAGUCUCUGGGAAUGUGGCAUCUUCGGAUGUGUUAUAGCCCAGGGUCGCAUGCAGUGGUUGGGAUUGAGGAACUCAGCACGCCGCAAGGCCGGGUUUCGAGCACGUUCGUGCUUA